AGACCUUACCCAGGCUUGACAUCCCAGGACAGCCCAUGAAAGUGGGUCUUCCCUUCGGGGACCUGGAGACAGGUGUUGCAUGGCUGUCGUCAGCUCGUGUCGUGAGAUGUUGGGUUAAGUCCCGCAACGAGCGCAACCCUUGUCCUUAGUUACCAGCGGUUCGGCCGGGCACUCUGAGGAGACUGCCGAUGAUAAGUCGGAGGAAGGUGGGGACGACGUCAAGUCAUCACGGCCCUUACGCCUGGGGCUACACACGUGCUACAAUGGUCGGUACAGAGGGUCGCAAGACCGCGAGGUGGAGCUAAUCCCAAAAAGCCGGCCUCAGUUCGGAUUGCAGUCUGCAACUCGACUGCAUGAAGUCGGAAUCGCUAGUAAUCGCGCAUCAGCUACGGCGCGGUGAAUACGUUCCCGGGCCUUGUACACACCG
This 427-nucleotide ribosomal RNA is filed under the name uncultured bacterium. RNAcentral describes it as "bacterial SSU rRNA". It matches the Rfam family "Bacterial small subunit ribosomal RNA", at positions 966 to 1392 of the family's 1533-position model. The record is from RNAcentral.